RNAcentral lists this ribosomal RNA (314 nucleotides) under uncultured eukaryote. RNAcentral describes it as "partial 18S ribosomal RNA". It matches the Rfam family "Eukaryotic small subunit ribosomal RNA", at positions 1470 to 1796 of the family's 1831-position model. The record is from RNAcentral.
CCCCUAGAUGUUCUGGGCCGCACGCGCGCUACACUGAACAGUUCAACAAGUCUUAACCUUGGCCGAUAGGUCUGGGUAAUCUUUGAACGCUGGUCGUGAUGGGGAUAGACUUUUGCAAUUUUUGGUCUUCAACGAGGAAUUCCUAGUAAACGCAAGUCAUCAACUUGCAUUGAUUACGUCCCUGCCCUUUGUACACACCGCCCGUCGCACCUACCGAUUGAAUGGUCCGGUGAAGCCUCCGGAUUGGCGCGCACCUCGGUGCCGCCGAGAAGUUGGCUAAACCUUACCAUUUAGAGGAAGGUGAAGUCGUANCA